This 83-nucleotide microRNA precursor is filed under the name Magallana gigas (Pacific oyster). RNAcentral describes it as "Crassostrea gigas (Pacific oyster) mir-315 microRNA precursor family". It matches the Rfam family "mir-315 microRNA precursor family". The record is from Rfam by way of RNAcentral. Lineage: Eukaryota; Metazoa; Mollusca; Bivalvia; Ostreida; Ostreidae.
GUCUCCUCACCUUUUGAUUGUUGCUCAGAAAGCCAUCUCUAAAAAGCGUGGCUAUCGAGCAACAAUCAAAGAUUGAAGGAGAC